Molecule: non-coding RNA, 137 nt
Organism: Cicer arietinum (chickpea)
Lineage: Eukaryota; Viridiplantae; Streptophyta; Magnoliopsida; Fabales; Fabaceae
Source: RefSeq, a predicted model, not a curated record
GACAAGCUAGGUUUCGAAGGAAACAAUUAAUUAAUUUAAGAAGAGUCUCCACCUUCCCAAACAAUACUACAAAUAAUGUGUUACAGGGAUGCAAUAUUAGUUAAUGCACUUUGGAAUAAGGAAAAUUUUGUCAAGAA